AUUGAACGCUGGCGGCAUGCCUUACGCAUGCAAGUCGAACGGCAGCACGGGAGCAAUCCUGGUGGCGAGUGGCGAACGGGUGCGUAAAGUAUCGGAACGUGCCCAGUCGUGGGGGAUAACGUAGCGAAAGUUGCGCUAAUACCGCAUACGAUCUAGGGAUGAACGCGGGGGAUCGCAAGACCUCGCGCGCUUGGAGCGGCCGAUAUCAGAUUAGGUGGUUGGUGGGGUAAAGGCUCACCAAGCCGACGAUCUGUAGCUGGUCUGAGAGGACGACCAGCCACACUGGGACUGGGACACGGCCCAGACUCCUACGGGAGGCAGCAGUGGGGAAUUUUGGACAAUGGGCGAAAGCCUGAUCCAGCCAUGCCGCGUGCAGGAUGAAGGCCUUCGGGUUGUAAACUGCUUUUGUACGGAACGAAAAGGUUUGGCCUAAUAAGCUGAGCUCAUGACGGUACCGUAAGAAUACGCACCGGCUAACUACGUGCCAGCCGCCGCCGUAA
RNAcentral lists this ribosomal RNA (500 nucleotides) under uncultured bacterium. RNAcentral describes it as "partial 16S ribosomal RNA". It matches the Rfam family "Bacterial small subunit ribosomal RNA", at positions 30 to 523 of the family's 1533-position model. The record is from RNAcentral.